CCACUUUUUAAGCUCUCUUUCCCAAUUUUCCAAUAAAGAGGCAGGACAUACAAUUAAAUGUGGACCGGGGUCAUUGUUCAAGUGUUUCAACAACAUUAAAUAUGUAAUUGCCUGAAUGGUCUUCCCAAGCCCCAUCUCAUCUGCCAAUAUGGCUCCUCCAAUGCCCUUUCUAUACAGCAAAAGAAGAAAGUUCACACCAACCAGCUGAUAUGGCUUGAGUACAGGCUGAAAAUCUGAAUCCACCACUGCACAUGCUGCAGCAAUAUCACUCUGAGUCAC
Molecule: unclassified non-coding RNA, 279 nt
Filed under: Hevea brasiliensis (rubber tree)
Lineage: Eukaryota; Viridiplantae; Streptophyta; Magnoliopsida; Malpighiales; Euphorbiaceae
Source: RNAcentral